RNAcentral lists this ribosomal RNA (121 nucleotides) under uncultured bacterium. RNAcentral's name for it is "partial 16S ribosomal RNA". The record is from RNAcentral.
CCGGGGCUUCUUCUCCCGCUACCGUCAUCAUCUUCACGGGUGAAAGAGCUUUACAACCCUAAGGCCUUCUUCACUCACGCGGCAUGGCUGGAUCAGGCUUGCGCCCAUUGUCCAAUAUUCC